CAGGACUUUCAGAGCCACUGACACACCAGCAGCACAAUGAUGAUGUCACUGACUCUACUGCUGACCAUCCUGGGGCUCCUGGUUCAGGGUUCAUCAGGAGACAUCAUCCUGACUCAGACUCCUGGAUCUCAGUCUGUUGCUCCAGGACAAACUGUCUCCAUCAGAUGUAAAACCAGUUCAAGUGUUUAUAGCAACCUCCACUGGUACCUUCAGAAACCAGCAGAAGCUCCUAAACUCCUGAUCUAUGCAGCUACAACUCGUCAGUCUGGAGUUCCAGCUCGUUUCAGUGGAAGUGGAUCUGGUUCUGAUUUCACUCUGACCAUCAGUGGAGUUCAGGCUGAAGAUUCAGGAGUUUAUUACUGUCAGCAGGGUUACAGCUUCCCGUUCACACAGUGAUAGAACGUCGUACAAAAACCUCCCUCAGCUGGAGAGGAACUGAUCCGACUCAACAGAUGGAAUGAAACAAAAACACUGAACGUUUCCACAAAUUAUUUAUUUAUUUUAUUAAU
Molecule: non-coding RNA, 509 nt
Organism: Poecilia latipinna (sailfin molly)
Lineage: Eukaryota; Metazoa; Chordata; Actinopteri; Cyprinodontiformes; Poeciliidae
Source: the annotation of a RefSeq genome assembly